CUCAGUCUGGUCACUGGCAAAAUGGGGUUCUUGAUGUUCCUAGCACUCAGAACACCCAUCCUGCAUCUCCUUUUGCUGUUAGCCAUUCCAAAGUUCUGAAUGCAGUCCAGGUAACUGAAAAUUAUAAAUAAAAAUCAAAAUAAAAUGAAAAAUACACAAAAAGUACUAUCUGCAAACCUGAUUGCAAUGCUUUUUAGUACCCAUAAUGUAGGAUAAUCUUAAUUUCUUGAUUGCUGACACAGAAAUUUCGUGAUGUCCCAAUUGGUUGAAUGGAAUUACAACAACAGGGUGAUAUUUCUGGUCAAUAUAUAACCCAUUGGGUGGGCACAGUCUUGUCUAUUUGUGCUGAUUGAAUCUUCUUCUGAGACAUGAAACCAAUUAAAUUUGUGAAGAACAAAACCAUGGAUUUUGUUUGGUUUAGAUUAUGUUGAACUUCAAGCAGCUAUCCCAUUUGUAGGUUGUAGUGAUGACAAUUCUCAGAACCUGCUGCUUGUGAAGUUUGGUUAAAAAAAUGACUUGCAGGGUAUUUUUGCUUAAAAAAUUUUGCAAGUUUUUGAGGGUGAUGUGAGUACAAUGAGCUGCCUGCACAAGUCAUAAGCCAUAAAGCAUAUUUUAGCCUUUUGUCUUAACAUUAUUUUUCUUGAUAUUUACCCCUUGGGAGUACCAUGCGUGUCUUCCAUAAAAAUUACUUUAUUUUGUUUUAAGCCAAAUCAGUAAGCUACUUCUCAGUUGCAGGACCGAAAAAACAUAAUAUUCAUUGAAAGAACAGCUAAAUGAGUUUUCUCAUUAUGUUAUCAGGAGGCCCGACGUGCUGCUGAGAAAGCAUUUGAUGUCUCAAAAGUGGAUGAGAGGGUGAACAAAGCCGUAGCAUUGGCAAACAAAGCAGCUAACGCAGCAAGAGUUGCAGCUGUAAAGGCCGUACAAAAGAGAGUGCAUCAUAACAGUGACAGUAGUGAC
Molecule: long non-coding RNA, 957 nt
Filed under: Vitis vinifera (wine grape)
Lineage: Eukaryota; Viridiplantae; Streptophyta; Magnoliopsida; Vitales; Vitaceae
Description: long non-coding RNA (VVIN_LNC000410)
Source: RNAcentral